CAGUCGCCACGGUAAUACGUAGGUGGCAAGCGUUAUCCGGAAUUAUUGGGCGUAAAGCGCGCGUAGGCGGUUUUUUAAGUCUGAUGUGAAAGCCCACGGCUCAACCGUGGAGGGUCAUUGGAAACUGGAAAACUUGAGUGCAGAAGAGGAAAGUGGAAUUCCAUGUGUAGCGGUGAAAUGCGCAGAGAUAUGGAGGAACACCAGUGGCGAAGGCGACUUUCUGGUCUGUAACUGACGCUGAUGUGCGAAAGCGUGGGGAUCAAACAGGAUUAGAUACCCCUGUAGUCCCUGUCUCUUAUAU
This 301-nucleotide ribosomal RNA is filed under the name uncultured bacterium. RNAcentral's name for it is "partial 16S ribosomal RNA". It matches the Rfam family "Bacterial small subunit ribosomal RNA", at positions 509 to 809 of the family's 1533-position model. The record is from RNAcentral.